UGCCUCAUGGGGCAGCUCAGAGCUCUGUGUCCAGGAAGGGAGGUUACAUUUCCUUCUCCAGUGGACCUUCCCAGACCCUCAGGUGAGCUCCAGACUCCACAAGGACACCCCUGAAGCGACUAACUCUCUAUUUCCUUAAACUAUUUCUGCAUUUCGCUCAGAAUUGUGAAGGGAGAAGAUGGAGCGGGGCUCUCAGGAGCAAGCGCCUAUACUCUCUUGGCAACUUUCAUCGAUGUCCGGUGUCCACGCCCCUUCUAGUUUUGAGCAUCGCUGUCUACUCGUCCUUGAGAGCGUCAGCAAGAAGGAAAUUACUCUGCCAUUUGCAACCACCCCUCAUCCCAAUCUUAUCAUACUUAUCCUAGACUGAGUCUUCCAGGACCAGAUCUGUGUCUGAUUCACCUCUGUGUUCCCAAAGUU
RNAcentral lists this long non-coding RNA (417 nucleotides) under Mus pahari (shrew mouse). Its description in RNAcentral is "lncRNA (MGP_PahariEiJ_G0005923.1)". The record is from RNAcentral. Lineage: Eukaryota; Metazoa; Chordata; Mammalia; Rodentia; Muridae.